UCGUCCAGGCAUACGUGACUGGAGAGGGACCGGUGGAGAAUUUGGCUGCACACUUGAGCGACCCAUUCGGAAACAACUUGCUGACCGUCAUCCAGGGUACUGCUGAGCGGACUCCCAGCCUUUAAGCAAGAAAAGCUGGAUAUGUAGUGACUGCCGAGGAUUGGGAAUGUAUAGACCUAGGAGAUCUUAAUGCACGAAGCUCGUUGCUUGGAGAAAAUUCAUCGUACAUAUUGGAUAUGUGAAAGACAAUGCAGUUAGAAAACCUGCUUUCCUUUGCGUUAAUUUAGCUUCGCUUUGAAGACUGAGUUUUUCAAAUUGAAGUGAUGACUCUUUUAAACUAACCAAGUCCACGAUUAUCGAUAUGUGAAUGGUAUGAGACUAUGACGUGUCUUCUUUAAACUGUUUUCCUAUCUCAAUCGCAAUCCAAUUCGUUGCCCAGUUACAAUUAUGAUGGUAUUCAUAGUUUACCUAACAACUAUCAGUCGUCAGAAUUCGUGCUCAAACUCAUAAUUCCUUGUGUGCCAUACAGCAGCAGACAAUGUGAAUCAUAAUAAUUUGUCGUGCAACAUUUCUCAAAAUAUUCGGCCGAUGAACUAUUUAACUGUCUCAAUCAAUGUGCUCACUUCCACGUGUCUCGUGCACCAGCGACAAUAUUGAUAUGAACUAUCAUCGAACACUGUCAUAAUCUGUGCUGACCCAACUAACACUUUCAAAAUGUGACGAGAAGGACGCUAUAAAAACUCUCUAUUCGAUGCCAUCCAAUUGCUACAACCUGCCCUGGACAAUCUACUGGCUACAACAAGUCAAGCUGCUUCAGUGACACUAUGUCGUGAGAAAGAAGGUCAACUAUUCCCGAAAAGUGAGAGGCCCCAAUUCAUCGAAUCCUUAAGAAUCUCCGUCGAGAAGUAAAUAGUAUUUGCAUCGCCAUUGGAUGUCUGAGGGCGCCUUAUCCAUAUCCUACUGGCUACGCUCAUGGUUACACAAGCUCGCCAUCCUUUCGCUCAUGCCCUGGAGUGCUCACGUCGUUCUUCUACACACAGCCAUCAUCUAUGGUGGUGGUGGUAAUCUGCCAGAGCCUCCAAUUUAGCAACAAUCUGGUGAGGAGCGAUGGCGGCCAUGGCAGCUGCAAAAGCUCAGUUUCUGGGUCAGUCCCUGGUGAGCAGCUGGAGAGGAGUGUUAAAAGAAGAGAAAAGAAGCAAGCAUAACAGAAUUGAUCAUCUGUUAUUAUUCUCUUAAAGCGUGUAUUACAGAGGUUGAUGACAACCUAUAUAGGUUGUAGAUUGAUUACCAAAAUAUAUAGAUAAGACAUUCAAUUGGUGAUAGUCCUUGUUCUUUACUAAUUAUUUAAUCCAAAUAGCUUUUUUGUACAAGCUAUAUAUUCUACUUUGAUAGAAGAUAAUGCUAUAAUAGGUUGUUGCCAACUUUGCCAAGAAAUAACUCCACCGGCUAAUGUAAAUAUACAACUAAGAAUGGAUCUUUGGUAGUUUUCAUCACAUGUCCAAUUACUACUACUUAAAUCUUAAAUUUAAUGUUGAUAUUCAAUUAAAUUUUAUUUACUUUGAUGAAUAAUUUUAUAAUUUAAAAUUCCUUUAAGAUAUCUUAUUAUACCUUUUAUUGUAGAUCAAUGUGCUUAACUUGGAUUAGCUAUAAAUUUGGCAACUUGGCAAAUAGAAAAAGUAAUAUCAAGCCUAAUAUGAAUCAUGGCAUGUAUUAAGCACCUUACAAUAAUUAAGUACAAGACAUCCUUCAUUAUCUUUAUAUUUUUAUGAUCAAUGAAACUUAUAUCCAUAGUCAAUCUUAAUUUGGCUUCAAGAAGGAUUGAAACGGGUUUAUAAUCUUAUAUAUUAAAUCUUAUAAAAAUUUCAGUUAUAUAUUUAUUUUAUAAUAAACUAAUAGACUUGUUAAUUUUAUUGUAUUCAACCAUUAUACUUUGGCAACCAUAUCUACUUUCAAUAGAUCUUUUUUUAGUCAUUUCAAAGCCACUUGCCAAAAGUCUUUAAGUAGUAUUUAAGAAAUAUAUAUUAUUACUAAUAAUAAUAGAGUUGUCUACAUAUGAUGUCUAUAUAAUAAAAUUUUGAUGCAUUAGCUCUCUUUUAAUAUAUAUACUAGAAUCUAUUUUACUAUAAGAAAAAUCAUUUUCAAUAAAUUAAUGGUUAAAUUAUUCAUACCACAUACACAAAAUUUAUUUUAAUCCAUAUAUACAUUUAAUAACUUAUAAACUAUAUGUAUAAAGUAAAGAUCAAUAUAACUCUUUGGUUGAGCCAUAUAAAUUUGUUUAUUUAAAAGACCAUGAAGAAAUACGGGCUUAAUGUCUAUUUGAUAAACAUUUAAAUCAUAUAUUGUAGUUAGGGAUAAUAAAAUAUACAAUGAAUUUAUUUUUAUCAAAAUAAAAAAUAUCUUUUCAUAGACAAUAUUGUUUUCUUGUGAAAAACACCUAGCAACCAAUUGAGCCUUAUAAUAGGUGAUUAUUCUAUUAGGAUUAUAUUUUCUUUUCGAAAUCCAUUUAUAACUUACAGUGACUCAAAAAACUAUUUCAAUGUUGACAUAUUUUAGAAAGAAUGGUGUAUUACAGAUGAAUUGUUCUGAAUAACGACAUGUGGUAUAUAUAGCAAAUAAAGUAUUCUUUUACAGCUACCAAAUGAGUCCAGGUUGAAAAGAAUCCAUUAGGUAAUUGUGGAGCUAUGACCAAUCUAAUUUGGAAUAGUAUUGAAACAAUCUUUUGACUAUGGUGUCAAAUUUUUGGAUUCUAUCAAUUACUUAAUAUUAUAACAUUCUAUCAUCAUUAGAUUUAUUAUGAAAAUAUUAUUACUAAUCUAAUGAUAUUAUUAAUGCUUACUAGCAGGUAUAAAAGCACUAUUAUUAAUUACAAUUCCUAGCACAGACAUAUUCUAAAUUAUUACAUUCUAAGUCCUUUUAGAAUCUUCUACAAAUUUCUAAAAUCUUCUAGAUAUUUGUAGAAUCUUCUACAAUCUUUUAGAAAGUUCCAUAGGCUUUUAGAAGCCUCUUUAGGCUUUUAGAAGCCUCUUUAGGCUUUUAGAAGCCUCUUUAGGCUUUUAGAAGCUUCUUUAGACUUCUAAAAACUUCUAUAGAAAGUACUAUAGACUUUUGUAACCUUCAUUAUAGUAUAAAUAUGAAUCUUUGGAACCACUUUUACUAUUAAUCUUAUUCUUUGUCUUUAAUCUUAAUAUAUUUCUUUGUCAAAUUCUUGUAUCCUUGACAAUUCCUUAAACAACUAGGAAAUCCAUUUCUUGCUCUCUCCAAAAUAACAUCACCUCUACUCUUCUUCAUUCUCAAAAAUCUUAUGGCCAAAUUGCUUCUGAACUUGGCUGUAGUAAAGCUACUAUCUCUAGGCUAGCAAAAAAGAUCACUUUUAAUAGGGAGAAUCUUAAAUUAGGUAGACUAAAGAAGCUCACUGUAGUAGAUGAAAGAACAAUCAUUUGCCAAAUCAACAUUGGGAAGAUUGAAAAUGUUAUUGAAGUUGCUAAAAAUCUUUAUAAUAUUAUCAAUAAUCCUAUGUCAAUCCAAACCAUUUGAAAUGUCCUUAAGAAAUAGAAUCCGAAAGCUGCGGUAAAAAAAAAACAAACAAACAAACAAACAAACAAACACUAUUAUCUAUCUGCCAAUAGAAACAAUGCUUGGAUUUUCCUCUGAAGUACAAAGAAUGGAUUGUGGAGAAUUAGAAGAGGAUUAUUUGGUGAAAUGAGACAAAAAUCAAUAGAUUUGGGUCAGAUGGCAAAAAAAAGGAUGUAAAAAUAAAAAGAACAAUCUUUACUUGACAAAAAGAUAUAAGAAAUAAUUAAGCAUGGAGGUGGAAAUAUAAUGGUAUAGAGUUGUAUGGAAUGGAAUGGAGUUGAUAGAAUGGCAGAGGUUGAAGAAAGGAUAGAUGUCAAGCAAUUUGUAGAAAUUUUUGAAAAAAAUCUACUUCUUAGCAUUGAAGAAUCUAGCAUUUUUGAAGAAGAAGUGAUUUUUCAAUAAGAUAAUAAUCCCAAGCAUAACUCAAAACUAGCAUCAAAGUGGUUUGAUCAUCAUAGGAUUAAAGUAAUAGAUUGGUCUGCUCAGUCUCCUCAUCUUAAUCCCAUUGAACAUCUUUGGAAGCACCUCAAAUGUCAGCUCAAUACCUAAAAGAUAAAACCAAAGGAUUGGAAAAUAUGAGAAUUAAUAGGUGUAGAAUGGAAUAAUAUUAAAGCAAUUUUGUGCCAAAAGUUAAUAGAAAGUAUGCCUAGGAGGUUGAAAUUAGUUAUCAAGGCCAAAAAAGGUCCUAAAAAAUACUGAUAUGUAAUUGGAUGCCACAUUCAUAAUUUUUUUUUAAUAUUGUUCGAAAUUGAAUUGGUCAUAGUUUCAUAAUUACCUAAUGGAUUCUUUUCAACCUAGGCUCAUUUGGUAGUUGUAAAAGAGUACUUUAUUUGCAAUAUAAACCACAUGUCAUUAUUCACUAUAAUUCAUUUGUAAUACACCAUUCUUUCCAAAAUAUGUCAAUAUUGAAAUAAUUUUUUGAGUCACUAUAUUAUAAAGCAUGUUAAUGAAAGAUCCUUCAAAAUUCAUGUAUUUUUUUAAAUUAAAGAACCAUAUUUAGAAUUUAAUGCUUCUUUCCACUUCGUAGUAUCUUCACCAUUUAAAGCUUUUGUAAUUAGAUAAGAUUCAUUAGAAUCAUGUAAAGUAAAUAAAUAAUAAGUAAUAUAUGAUUAUAAUAUUUAUUUAAUAAUUUUUUAUUAUUAAUAUUUUGGAUUUUUUUGGUAGAUUGAAUGAUAAAAUUCUUAAAUUAGUUAAAUGAGUAUUCUUAAUUAUAUCAUCAUUAUUUGACAAAAGAUUUUUUAAAGCAAUUAAUAAUUCAAAAAAUAUUUCUUCAUGUUGAAAUUUACUUUGAAUACAUUAGUAUGAUUACUUUGAAUACUUUGAACCUUAGUAUGAUUACUUUGAAUACUUUGAACCUUAGUAUGAUUACUUUGAAUACUUUGAACCUUAGUAUGAUUACUUUGAACAUUAGUAUGAUUACUUUGAAUACUUUGAACAUGUAUCAUGAGAAGACAUAACAUCAUUACAUAAUAUUGAUUGUCAAAUUGAAGUAAUUUUUGAAAAUUGUUAUAAAAGAAUAUAUUUUGUCAAGUAGAUAUCUUAAAUCAUGUUUCAACUAAAGCAUCAAUAAAGCUUUUGUUAUCAUUAUUGUCAUUUUGUAUUCAUUUCUUUCUUUGAGUAAAUAAAGUUUUUAAUAAGGUAAUUCCAUCAAAGAUAAUAUUACAACUAACAAUUUUUUUUUAUUUUUAAUUAUAUAAUAGAUAUUAUUCACCAUAGCCAAAAAAAAUAUAUUUUUUAUUUUUUAUAUCAAGCUUAUGUUGGUACUCAUUAAAAAUAUGUACAUAUGUUAUAUAUCCAUAGAUCUUCAAAUGACUUAAAUGAGGUGUUUUACCACAAUAUAAUGUCAAAAAAGUCAUUGAAGCUUCUAAUGUCUUUAAAAAGGUUCUAUUUUGUAUAUAACAAGUUGUGGCCUUGGCAUCUGCCCAAAAAAAUUGGAUAAUCUAGAUGUAUGCAAUAGACAUCUUGCAAACUUUAAUAAAAUUUUAUUCUUUUGUUUGCUAACACCAUUUUGUUCUAGUAUAUAGGAUAUAGUGAAUUGACAUAUUAUUCCAUGUUGAACACAAAAAUAAUUUGUCCAAGAAACCUGAGGACUUUGGCAGGUGGAGUCUCGGUCUACUCACACAUUUGUCAUCUGCUACAUCCAUUUUUAUUGUUCAGGAAUUUGAGUAAUUGUUUCGGGCUUUGGAUUGAGGGUUCUUGUAUCUACAUUCCGCAGUUACCAAGCUUAUGAGCUUAUCCAUGCUCGAUGGGCCAUAUUGCGAGCCGCUGGCUUUGUUCCUCCUAACGCAUUCAACAAGUUUGGCUCCGUCUGCGGCCCUGAAGCUAUGUGGUGGAAGGUACGUAAUGAAGUGAAUAUCCUCUCGGGUGUGCUCUCAUGUAGACAUGGAGUUUACAUCUUAGUGACAUUUGCUGGUGUUAGAAUCGCAGAUGAGCACUUGUUGCGAAAGCAAUGUUAGUGGUUUUAAUACUCAGUUAUUUUAACCGAGUAACUUGAUUCUGACGAGACUUAUGUGUUCAUUAGACCGGAGCAUUACUGCUGGAAGGUGACUCCAUCAAGUACUUCGGAGCCACCGUUCCCAUCAACCUGGCCGCUGCCGUGAUUUCCGAGGUUAACCUGGUUGGAGGAUCCGAGUACUAUAGAUCGACCAACAAGUCUCCCCUCGGAUCGGUAUGUCCCUGCACCAAUUCGCUGUCAUGUGGAGAAAAAGGUGGUAGACAAGACAGAGGUGGCCUUAUCAUGGUUUGAGGGUGUGGCGAGGUGAAUCGAUCUUUGAACUGUCCACGUUCUGACCGUGAGGGAUGUUUAUGGAUUGCAGGACUUGGAUAGGUUGCACCCAGGAGGUGCAUUCGACCCUUUGGGGCUUGCGAAGGAUCCCGACCAGUUCGCGCUGUUGAAGGUGAAGGAGAUCAUGAACGGGAGGUUGGCUAUGUUUUCGAUGCUGGGGUUCUUCGUCAAGGCAUACGUAACUGGAGAGGGACCGGUGGAGAAUUUGGCUGCACACUUGAGCGACCCAUUCGGAAACAACUUGCUGACCGUCAUCCAGGGUACUGCUGAGCGGACUCCCAG
Molecule: long non-coding RNA, 6640 nt
Filed under: Physcomitrium patens
Lineage: Eukaryota; Viridiplantae; Streptophyta; Bryopsida; Funariales; Funariaceae
Description: long non-coding RNA (PPAT_LNC003130)
Source: RNAcentral